This is a long non-coding RNA of Rhipicephalus sanguineus (brown dog tick), 241 nucleotides long. RefSeq lists it as uncharacterized. The transcript has 3 exons. The record is from RefSeq and is a predicted model, not a curated record. NCBI's taxonomy places the organism in Eukaryota, Metazoa, Arthropoda, Arachnida, Ixodida, Ixodidae.
AUUCUCGCAUCGGAAGAAGGCCGAGUUUUGUUUGCCUCCAAAACCUGGAGCACUGCGAGUCUCGGAGGCCUUACACGAGGAGUUUCACGGUUUGCUCUGCUUCCACGUUGAAAACGUGACCCCAGUUCAGCUUGAGCUGAGCAAGCAAGUCGCGCCACAGUAGGCACUGUUGUGUUCCCGGAACGACAACAACCGAUUCAACAGGAUCAAAGGCACACGGACAUGCAACCCAAAAAUUAAA